This 304-nucleotide ribosomal RNA is filed under the name Camaena cicatricosa. RNAcentral's name for it is "partial 16S ribosomal RNA". The record is from RNAcentral. Lineage: Eukaryota; Metazoa; Mollusca; Gastropoda; Stylommatophora; Camaenidae.
UGCAAAGGUAGCAUAAUAAUUUGGCUUAUAAUUGAAGUCUUGUAUGAACGAAUACAUGGGGAAUAACUAUAUCAACAAUGUAAAAUGAAAUUACUAAAUACGUGCAAAUACGUAUAUUUACAUAAAAGACGAGAAGACCCUAGAAAUUUUUACUAUUUACGUUAACUCUUUUUGCUGGGGCGGCAUAGUAACAUGAAACUUACAUUAUUAUACAAGAAGUGAUAAUUUGCAGAAUGAUUAAAUUACUCUAGGGAUAACAGCAUAAUUUACUAUAGUUUGUGACCUCGAUGUUGGAUUAGGAAGU